Molecule: ribosomal RNA, 406 nt
Filed under: uncultured bacterium
Lineage: Bacteria
Description: partial 16S ribosomal RNA
Rfam family: Bacterial small subunit ribosomal RNA
Source: RNAcentral
AUUGAACGCUGGCGGCAGGCCUAACACAUGCAAGUCGAACGAGUGGCGGAAGGGUGAGUAAUGUCUGGGAAACUGCCCGAUGGAGGGGGAUAACUACUGGAAACGGUAGCUAAUACCGCAUAACAUAGGAUGUGCCCAGAUGGGAUUAGCUCGUAGGUGGGGUAAAGGCUAACCUGGGCGACGAUCCCUAGCUGGUCUGCAAGGAUGACCGGCCACCCUGUAACUGGACCACUGUCUAGACUCCGACGGGAGGCAGCAGGGGGGAGUAUGGCACAAUGGGCGCAAGCCUGAUGCAGCCAUGCCGCUUGUAUGAAGAAGGCCGUCGGUUUGGAAAGUACUUUCAGCGGGGAGGCGUUACCCGCAGAAGAAGCACCGGCUAACUCCGUGCCAGCAGCCGCGGUAAUUC